This 472-nucleotide ribosomal RNA is filed under the name uncultured bacterium. RNAcentral describes it as "bacterial SSU rRNA". It matches the Rfam family "Bacterial small subunit ribosomal RNA", at positions 331 to 795 of the family's 1533-position model. The record is from RNAcentral.
CCAGACUCCUACGGGAGGCAGCAGUGGGGAAUAUUGCACAAUGGGCGCAAGCCUGAUGCAGCCAUGCCGCGUGUAUGAAGAAGGCCUUCGGGUUGUAAAGUACUUUCAGUCGGGAGGAAGGUGGUAAGGUUAAUAACCUUAUCAAUUGACGUUACCGACAGAAGAAGCACCGGCUAACUCCGUGCCAGCAGCCGCGGUAAUACGGAGGGUGCAAGCGUUAAUCGGAAUUACUGGGCGUAAAGCGCACGCAGGCGGUCUGUCAAGUCGGAUGUGAAAUCCCCGGGCUCAACCUGGGAACUGCAUUCGAAACUGGCAGGCUGGAGUCUUGUAGAGGGGGGUAGAAUUCCAGGUGUAGCGGUGAGAUGCGUAGAGAUCUGGAGGAAUACCGGUGGCGAAGGCGGCCCCCUGGACAAAGACUGACGCUCAGGUGCGAAAGCGUGGGGAGCAAACAGGAUUAGAUACCCCAGUAACC